RNAcentral lists this ribosomal RNA (395 nucleotides) under uncultured bacterium. RNAcentral's name for it is "bacterial SSU rRNA". It matches the Rfam family "Bacterial small subunit ribosomal RNA", at positions 30 to 428 of the family's 1533-position model. The record is from RNAcentral.
AUUGAACGCUGGCGGCAUGCCUUACACAUGCAAGUCGAACGGCAGCGGGCCUUCGGGUGCCGGCGAGUGGCGAACGGGUGAGUAAUGCAUCGGAACGUGCCAUUGAGUGGGGGAUAACGUAGCGAAAGUUACGCUAAUACCGCAUAUUCUGUGAGCAGGAAAGCAGGGGAUCUUCGGACCUUGCGCUUUUGGAGCGGCCGAUGUCGGAUUAGCUAGUUGGUGGGUAAAGGCCCACCAAGGCGACGAUCCGUAGCGGGUCUGAGAGGAUGAUCCGCCACACUGGAACUGAGACACGGUCCAGACUCCUACGGGAGGCAGCAGUGGGGAAUUUUGGACAAUGGGCGCAAGCCUGAUCCAGCCAUGCCGCGUGAGUGAAGAAGGCCUUCGGGUUGGUU